UGGGGAAUUUUGGACAAUGGGGGAAACCCUGAUCCAGCCAUCCCGCGUGUGCGAUGAAGGCCUUCGGGUUGUAAAGCACUUUUGGCAGGAAAGAAACGUCAUGGGUUAAUACCCCGUGAAUCUGACGGUACCUGCAGAAUAAGCACCGGCUAAUUACGUGCCAGCAGCCGCGGUAAUACGUAGGGUGCAAGCGUUAAUCGGAAUUACUGGGCGUAAAGCGUGCGCAGGCGGUUCGGAAAGAAAGAUGUGAAAUCCCAGAGCUCAACUUUGGAACUGCAUUUUUAACUACCGGGCUAGAGUGUGUCAGAGGGAGGUAGAAUUCCGCGUGUAGCAGUGAAAUGCGUAGAUAUGCGGAGGAACACCGAUGGCGAAGGCAGCCUCCUGGGAUAACACUGACGCUCAUGCACGAAGGCGUGGGGAGCAAACAGG
This 429-nucleotide ribosomal RNA is filed under the name Acidobacteriota bacterium. RNAcentral describes it as "Acidobacteria bacterium partial 16S ribosomal RNA". It matches the Rfam family "Bacterial small subunit ribosomal RNA", at positions 355 to 776 of the family's 1533-position model. Lineage: Bacteria; Pseudomonadati; Acidobacteriota. The record is from RNAcentral.